RNAcentral lists this ribosomal RNA (673 nucleotides) under uncultured bacterium. Its description in RNAcentral is "bacterial SSU rRNA". It matches the Rfam family "Bacterial small subunit ribosomal RNA", at positions 66 to 774 of the family's 1533-position model. The record is from RNAcentral.
ACGGAGAAUUGCUAGCUUGCUAAUAAUUCUCUAGUGGCGCACGGGUGAGUAACACGUGAGUACCUGCCCCCAAGAGUGGGAUAGCCCCGGGAAACUGGGAUUAAUACCGCAUAAAGCAAUAAAGCAGCAAUGCGCUUGGGGAUGGGCUCGCGUCCUAUUAGUUAGUUGGUGAGGUAACGGCUCACCAAGGCGAUGACGGGUAGCCGGUCUGAGAGGAUGUCCGGCCACACUGGAACUGAGACACGGUCCAGACACCUACGGGUGGCAGCAGUCGGGAAUCAUUCACAAUGGGGGAAACCCUGAUGGUGCGACGCCGCGUGGGGGAUAAGGUCUUCGGAUUGUAAACCCCUGUCAUGUGGGACAUUAAAAGAUAGUACCACAAGAGGAAGAGACGGCUAACUCUGUGCCAGCAGCCGCGGUAAUACAGAGGUCUCAAGCGUUGUUCGGAAUCACUGGGCGUAAAGCGUGCGUAGGCGGUUUCGUAAGUCGUGUGUGAAAGGCGGGGGCUCAACCCCCGGACUGCACAUGAUACUGCGAGACUAGAGUAAUGGAGGGGGAACCGGAAUUCUCGGUGUAGCAGUGAAAUGCGUAGAUAUCGAGAGGAACACUCGUGGCGAAGGCGGGUUCCUGGACAUUAACUGACGCUGAGGCACGAAGGCCAGGGGAGCGAAAG